This 201-nucleotide long non-coding RNA is filed under the name Carica papaya (papaya). RNAcentral describes it as "long non-coding RNA (CPAP_LNC011834)". The record is from RNAcentral. Lineage: Eukaryota; Viridiplantae; Streptophyta; Magnoliopsida; Brassicales; Caricaceae.
CAUGAUGGAUGAAGGCAAGAAGGCAAAAAAAUUUGAGUGGGGCAUCCGUCUUGAGAUUAGAAAACAGCUGCACGUAUUUGAGCUCAGUACUUACUCAGCCGUUUUGGCUAAGGCAUAGCUAAUGGAGAGGAACCUUUACAUCUUUCCUCCAGCAGUGGAGAAUCCCAAACCCUCGAUUUCACACCGCAGACCAGCACUUAC